Molecule: ribosomal RNA, 253 nt
Filed under: uncultured bacterium
Lineage: Bacteria
Description: partial 16S ribosomal RNA
Rfam family: Bacterial small subunit ribosomal RNA
Source: RNAcentral
GACGAACUGUCCUAACGUUGUUCGGAAUCACUGGGCUUAAAGGGCGCGUAGGCGGUCCGACAAGUCAGGGGUGAAAUACUGCAGCUCAACUGUAGAAGUGCCUUUGAUACUGUCGGUCUCGAGGGAGAUAGGGGUGUGCGGAACUUCCAGUGGAGCGGUGAAAUGCGUUGAUAUUGGAAGGAACGCCGGUGGCGAAAGCGGCGCACUGGAUCUCUUCUGACGCUGAGGCGCGAAAGCUAGGGGAGCAAACGGG